CCUUUCGUCACUAUAAUAGAAAUGCAGAUAGUCUAGCAUCAAAGCACAGUGAGUUGUUUGUAAGUCACUAUAGUGAUCUCAGGUCUAAAGGACACUUAUACCUAUGUAUUUCAUAAGCAGCUCUUGAUAGCAGAAUGCUCAGCAGGUGAGUCACUUGUUCAGUGAUGAUGUACCCCUAUAUCUCACCUGUAUGUCAUACCAGUAUCACCACACUCUUUGG
This 220-nucleotide long non-coding RNA is filed under the name Elaeis guineensis (African oil palm). RNAcentral's name for it is "long non-coding RNA (EGUI_LNC054151)". Lineage: Eukaryota; Viridiplantae; Streptophyta; Magnoliopsida; Arecales; Arecaceae. The record is from RNAcentral.